AUACAGUUGGUCACUGUUCCAUACUGGGAGCCACUUCAAGGAUGCAGCCUUGAGAGUAAUACCUUAUUACGACCAUUUGAACUGUGUAUGUGAUUGAACUCCGUUAAGGCCUCUAUAUAAACUUUUAAGAUUCUAGCAGUCGAGUGGGUGGUAAGUUCCUUUCCUCAUUAAACCUGCCACCCACCAAUCUGGAGUGGCCUACCUCUCUUUUCCCGUCUCUCCUUGCCCUAAGUGCACUGGGCCAGUUUCAAAUUUCACCUGGGGGAACUCCAGAGGUUGUGAACAAACAGAAAUAUAAAGAAAGAUCACCAUGGAUAAAGCAUGCUUGGUGGUUUUGGAAUUUAGAGGAAGUAAUGUUAUUGUUUACAACAGUGUUACUCUUCAUUAUGAGAUUUUUUUGAUCAUUAUAGUACUCUGUAAAGUUGCAAGUAAUCGCUAACAAACUCCCUCACUAAGAGAAAUUUAUAUUAAUUAAAAAAAUCUUACAAUAAAUACGCCAAAAUUAAACAAACGAGACGAAUUUAUAUAGUCUGAACACUUUUUAGUUGCCUGUAGAAUUUGGAUCAAGUUCAAUAGACACAGGUAAAUAAACUAGAAGAAAUUGCUUGAAUAAGGUAGAUAGCAUCACUUAGCAGCUGAUUCUUGUUCCGACAAAAUUUAGAGAGUAAGACAACUUUCAAGUAAAAUGGACUUGAUUUUCUUGUUCCCCAAGAGAAAAGAAUCAAGCUACUUAGGUAGGUGGAGUGAGGACUAGAACCCAAGCCUUCUGCCUCCCAGCUGAUAGUUCUCUGAUUUUCCACAGUCCUCGAGCAUUUACACACCAGCUCCAGGCGCUACCUAAGCCAGGUGCUCUCACUUUUCCAGCCCGGAUCUUCACUCACUCCUAAGAUCCUUUAACGAGUGUUCUGAGAGCUGUGCAGUCCUUCGAUUCAUUCAAAGCAUUCUACAGCGAACACUAGGGGGGAAAAGAACAAACAAGAUAAAUUUCAAAUAUAGGAUUCAAUUACUUUUCACAACUCGAUGAUGUGUCAAAGGCACGCUGUGUUUUGUUUUGAGGGCGGGGAGAUGACUGGGAGGGAAUCCUGGGCCCCCAUUGGCUGGCCGCUCUCCGCUGCAGUUGAGCUCCAGCCGCUCGGAGAGGAUUAUUGAUCUGAAGGGUAAACGUGGAGGGAGCCACAGAGAGGGGUCCAAGCGUUUCUGAGAAGAGAGGCAGCCUCUUCCAGGAAGAAAGUGGUGUCUGCUGGCUGCCCAGCUUGGAGAACCUUCUAUGAAUAAACGGGGACAGAAUGCAAGGCAGUUUGUUGCUACAGUGAUUUAGAAGGAAAACAAGAAGGAGAGAAAGAGAAAGGUCUCACCUUCCGUGCGAGCCGGGGUUGUAGCAUCCUGCUGCCGCCGUCUCUGCUUCUGCUCCUGCAGCUGCCGUGUCUGCCACCAGCUUUGGCUCUAUUUGGGAAUAUAGUCCAUUUGGAACUCAGUAGCACUUUGGAGUUUUAAAGAAUGCCAGCCUUUUUAAAGCUGAUGUCAUGCUGGUGUAAGCCUCCAUCAACUUUCAACUGGGACAACUGCAAUGGCCACUUUACUGGAUGUUCUGCUUGCAAUUUUGCCCUCUAAAGACAACACUUCACAUCACAGCCAACAUAAACUUUUAAGAACCUACAUUCAGAUUUUAUUUAGUCUUGUCAAAUUUUCUCAUAUUUUUAAAAAAAUUUACAAAGGUGCCCAUAUCCUCAUUCUUCUUUGCCUCUUAGGGCUCAUCUUCUUCUCCACCUCCAUGCCUUCACUUGACUUCUGUAAAGCUCUUUGGCCAUGCCAAGCAUCUUUCCCCACUUAGGAUCGUCUCACAGACUGUUUCUUCUCUCUUUUGGUAGGGGUCUCAUUAGUGCUGAGGGACUUUCAAAGACAAUUUAAACAUAAAAACAGAAUAUUCUUGUAUCAAUAGAGUUUAAGUGAAUACUUUACUAUGAUAUAUGAAAAACUUACUGUUCUUUUCAUGCAGAAAUCAUGUUUCAUCUUAAAAAUCAUGUUUCGUCAAAUUGAGCUAGAAACUUAAUGAUGCUUGUUAAUUUCUAAUGACUAAAAUAAAGGC
This 2086-nucleotide long non-coding RNA is filed under the name Equus asinus (donkey). RNAcentral describes it as "lncRNA (ENSEASG00005036362.1)". The record is from RNAcentral. Lineage: Eukaryota; Metazoa; Chordata; Mammalia; Perissodactyla; Equidae.